AUGGCGAUCCGACACUACUGGUCGAUGGCUGCCGCUGCUGUCGGGUUCCGCCUCGUUCUGGUGCUCUUCAGCAGAGACCUCCACCUUGCCUCCCGCCCAGAGGUCUCCACCCCCCUCACGUCCCUUCGCCGCCUUGCAGACGGAUACUGGCUGAAGCAUGCAUCCAUGUCACCCUAUUCCGGUUCGAUGUAUCAUGGUUCCCCUUUGCUUCUAUCGGUUCUUGGUCCGCUAACCAGUAAAAGGUCAGGUGGACACCAUUCUCAUAUAUAUUGCAGUUUGGUUUUUGUGGCUGUAGAUUUUAUAGCUGCUAUGCUCAAUCAACUGGUGAACAUAAGUGCAGGAGAUACUGCUUCUCUAAUAUAUCUGUGGAACCCUUGGACAAUAAUCACCUGUGUGGGUUCAUGUACAUCACCAAUUGAGAAUUUAAUGGUCGUGAUAAUGUUACAUGGAGCCUGUUCACGUCUUCCACCGCUUGCUGCCUUUGGAUAUGUUAUGGCAACGCAUCUUUCUCUUUAUCCUGCAAUUCUUAUUCUACCUAUAUGUGUUGCUCUUUUAUUGGGUUAUGGUCCAGAUACCCCUCCAACUAAAGUAUUUCUACAAAAAGGCCCAAGUGCCAAUAAAAUUGACAUUUCAGAUAAUGGAAAAAGUACUAUCCAAAAAGGAUUUGGACAAUUCUCACGGAAACCAAUACUCCACUUCAUAUUGUUGGUCUUUAUCUGGUCAUGUUAUGUGCUGUUAUUGAACAGCGUUAUUCUAAAUAAAGUGGGUGGCCUUCAGGAGAUGUUUGAGAAGACAUAUGGUUUUAUCCUUGCAGUGAGGGAUUUAUCACCAAAAUAUUGGUAUUUCUUUGCCGAAGUCUUCGACUUCUUCAGAAGCUUCUUUCUUAUAGUCUUUAAUAUGAACAUCAUUUUUAUGGUCUUGCCAUUGCCUAUCCGUUUGAAGCACCGACCGUGCUUCCUUGCCUUUGUUUAUAUAGCAAUUAUUGCAAUGCUGAAAUCUUAUACCUCGGCUGGAGAUUUAGCUCUAUAUCUAGGACUUGUAGGCCUAUUCACCAAUGAACUAGCGGAGAUGCAAUUCACCUUCAUCCUGUUUUUUGGAUACAUUGGAGUCUCUCUCCUUAGCCCUGUCAUGCAUAACCUAUGGAUCUGGAGGACUGUAUUGGUCGUAGAGACUGUAAGUUCAAUGAUAAAGCAUCAUAGGAAACUAAGGCUACUUAUAAAAGCUUAA
RNAcentral lists this ribosomal RNA (1227 nucleotides) under Triticum aestivum (bread wheat). Its description in RNAcentral is "partial small subunit ribosomal RNA". Lineage: Eukaryota; Viridiplantae; Streptophyta; Magnoliopsida; Poales; Poaceae. The record is from RNAcentral.